RNAcentral lists this long non-coding RNA (219 nucleotides) under Marmota monax (woodchuck). Lineage: Eukaryota; Metazoa; Chordata; Mammalia; Rodentia; Sciuridae. The record is from RNAcentral.
CCGUCCGGAACCUCUGGGCCUGGCGGCUGCAGCGUCACCAGCGGAGCCGGUGCGGGGCGGGCAGAGCGGCCGCUGCCGCCGCCAACGAACCGGGGACCGCGCGGGGCCCAGCAGCACACCGGCCAGGGGAGGGGGCCCAGCCGUCGGGCCGAGAGCUACGGGCCGCCGGCGGCCGCGGGGCGACGACGACGCGGAGGAGGCGGAGCCCGGAGAGGGGUG